RNAcentral lists this ribosomal RNA (449 nucleotides) under uncultured bacterium. Its description in RNAcentral is "bacterial SSU rRNA". It matches the Rfam family "Bacterial small subunit ribosomal RNA", at positions 329 to 793 of the family's 1533-position model. The record is from RNAcentral.
UGCCAGACUCCUACGGGAGGCAGCAGUGGGGAAUAUUGGACAAUGGGGGGAACCCUGAUCCAGCGACGCCGCGUGAGUGAAGAAGUAUUUCGGUAUGUAAAGCUCUAUCAGCAGGGAAGAAAAUGACGGUACCUGACUAAGAAGCCCCGGCUAACUACGUGCCAGCAGCCGCGGUAAUACGUAGGGGGCAAGCGUUAUCCGGAUUUACUGGGUGUAAAGGGAGCGUAGACGGUGCAGCAAGUCUGAUGUGAAAGGUCGGGGCCCAACCCCGGGACUGCAUUGGAAACUGUGGAACUGGAGUGCUGGAGAGGCAAGCGGAAUUCCUAGUGUAGCGGUGAAAUGCGUAGAUAUUAGGAGGAACACCAGUGGCGAAGGCGGCUUACUGGACUGUAACUGACGUUGAGGCUCGAAAGCGUGGGGAGCAAACAGGAUUAGAUACCCUGGUAUAA